UGCCAGCCGCCGCGGUAAUACGGAGGGGGCUAGCGUUGUUCGGAAUUACUGGGCGUAAAGGGCGUGUAGGCGGCUGUCCAAGUCGGGUGUGAAAGCCCUCGGCUCAACCGAGGAAUUGCACCCGAAACUGGUCGGCUAGAGUCCGGGAGGGGGUAGCGGAAUUCCCAGUGUAGCGGUGAAAUGCGUAGAUAUUGGGAAGAACACCGGUGGCGAAGGCGGCUACCUGGACCGGAACUGACGCUGAGGCGCGAAAGCUAGGGGAGCGAAUGGGAUUAGAUA
RNAcentral lists this ribosomal RNA (279 nucleotides) under uncultured bacterium. Its description in RNAcentral is "partial 16S ribosomal RNA". It matches the Rfam family "Bacterial small subunit ribosomal RNA", at positions 506 to 784 of the family's 1533-position model. The record is from RNAcentral.